This 29-nucleotide non-coding RNA is filed under the name Homo sapiens (human). The record is from RNAcentral. Lineage: Eukaryota; Metazoa; Chordata; Mammalia; Primates; Hominidae.
UUGCUGUGUUGAACACUUGCUCCCGUCUA